AUCAAUAAGCGGAGGAAAAGAAACCAACAGGGAUUCCUUUAGUAACGGCGAGCGAAGUGGGAAGAUGCCCAGGUCUGAAAUCUCCUAGCUGGCAAUUGUACAGUUGGGCGAAUUGUGGUCUGGAGAGGCAGACUGUCCCGAUCCACUGCUCCUGAGCCCGAAGUUGACUUGGAACGGCACGCCAAAGAGGGUGAGAGCCCCGUAGGGCCUGGAAAUCGGGAGCAGCGGGACGAGGGUCUGUACUCGUAGAGUCGGGUUGUUUGGGAAUGCAGCCCUAAGUGGGUGGUAGACUCCAUCCAAGGCUAAAUACGGGCGCGAGACCGAUAGCUGACAAGUACCGUGAGGGAAAGGUGAAAAGCACUUUGAAGAGAGAGUUCAAUAGACCGUGAAACCGUUGGGAGGGAAGCUCAGGGUGUCGAGGAUGUCGUGCUCUGUUUGAGUUCAACCUGUGGUGGCUGGGCAACCGGUUGCUGCUGGUGCAUUCUCUUAUGGAGUUGGACCGUCAGUUGGGAAGAGACGGAGAUCUGCCUUGACAGCAGUCGGGAGGUAUGCCCUGUGGUUCCUUAUGGUGCCCAGGGUAACGUACAGCCGUUCUGUUGUGGUCUCUGUCGUCUUUCAGGUGUGUUUGGAUGUCUGUUCGUCCAGAAAUGGAAGGUGCAGUCUCUCCUUGUGGGGGAUCGGGCCUCCUUGCGGUUGUGCUGUGUUGUCUGGAUGUGUACCUUUCUCUCUCCGUCUUGUCUUUGGCAGUCGGGGCAGAAAACGGCACUCCUUACAAAUAUCAGUUCCCGUCAGGGAUGUGUCCUGGAAUCUGUGCCGA
This 817-nucleotide ribosomal RNA is filed under the name Chalinula sp. Po.25782. Its description in RNAcentral is "eukaryotic LSU rRNA". It matches the Rfam family "Eukaryotic large subunit ribosomal RNA", at positions 42 to 657 of the family's 3401-position model. The record is from RNAcentral. Lineage: Eukaryota; Metazoa; Porifera; Demospongiae; Haplosclerida; Chalinidae.